CUUUAUUUUUAGAAUGUCUUCAAGCCCCUAUUUAUUUUCCAAUUCUUUUCCAUUUAAUUAUCGUAUCUGUUCCUUCGAUCAAUUUUAAUACAGCAUAUUUUGCUUUAUUUAAUUUCCUUUGUAUUUACGAAACACACCAACUACGUCUUACAAAACUUUUUCAGAACCCAUCGUAACGAUUCGUGGAACCAGCUUGCGAACAAAUUUUUCCCACAGAGUAAAGAAAAAUUUCUCGGAAUCGAGUUAUAAAUAAUCCACUCGUAACAACAAUUCGUUCCAUCUUCCCACGGUAUGUCCAAAUACGAUAUGUUUAUAAUAUUCUUACUCGAGUGCGUGUAACCACGAGCCGUAUUUACCUUUCGACUUCCGCAAUUUCGGUUUCCAGGAAUUUUCGACUCCCGAAACGAUAACAUUGUGCAAAAACAAUUUCUAACUUUCGAUAAUAAUACUGUUAUCGAGGAGAUGGUUUCAGUUGUACACUGGCUUCGAACGUGGAAAGAUCGCGCGAAAGUGAAGCGUGUCUUCGAAAAUAUUACCAAGACGACCAUUGAACGAUGGACGACCGGAACCAUCCAUCAGAGGGCCGAGAUAGACCGAGCAUCAAGGAUGCUGGAUGCGGUGGAGCGAAGAUAGCGGGGGAACGAGAAUAUCAUGGUCCCAUGGGUUGGAGAAGGAGGAUUUUCUGGAUUUUUUACGGAAUCGAAAUAAAAAAGAAAAACGUUUAAACGAGCGACAUUUCGCUUUAUCCUUUAUCAACCAAUAACCGGUUGGCGGUAAAUGGAUGGCCUACUUAUUUCCUUGCAGUUUUCUCGUUAUAUUAAAGUUCGAGACGGAUUUAAUUAUGCACACGACAAGACUCCUGCUACCAAGAUCUCUGCUUAUUAGCGUUUUGCCUUCGUUAGCCUUCGAUAAACAAUCGACGUCGCUUACCAUUGUUUCAAAGCAGCGAGAGUUUUGAUUUCGCUGUAAACAUUCUCCGCGGGGGGAGGAGAGAUCAGUUUCGAAUUAACGAGGGAUGGAUUCCGGUUUAUCAUCGGGACAUUUCGAGCGAGAGACGAGAUUUUACGCGAUUAGAAUCGUUGCAAAGGGGAAAUAAUAAAAAGAUAUUGAAGUUAUUAAUCGUUAAAGUAAUCAUUAGCAGAUGGCCAAUUUCUUAUGAUCAGAAUUAUUAUUAUUAUUAUUAUUAUUAUUGAUGUUUGAAAAAAGGAAUAUUGGAAAACUCUUUUCAAAUCAUUCGAGAGGAAUCGCAUCAAAGAAGAAGAAGAAAUUAAAUAGAGAAAGAAGGAGAAUCCUUUUCAUCUUUCAUAUUUUUUUCAAAAGAAAUUUAUGACGCGUCAACCGCUAUAGAAUAGAAUAGAAAAUUCCGAAACCGUGACGCGUCAUGGCCACCCUCUCACCCUUCAGGCUAUCAAAGGCUUGGAGUAAAGGAAAAUUAAAAAAAAAGAAGAAGAAAAAUAAAACUCCAUAAGAAGAAAAGAAAAAGGAAACCGACUUAAGGAAACGAAUACAAGGCAAAAAAAAAGGAGUCCGGCGCAGAACGUGAGAGAAGGAAAAACUUCACCGCCUUCGCUGAACAGAUUUUCCUACGGAGAAGGGAGGGAGGGGAAGGGAACGAUCCGUCGUCGUCGUCGUCGUCCAAUUUGCCGUACGAAGCCAAUAGCCGUCGUCGUGUACGAGGCAUCGAAAAAAAAAAAAAAAAAGAAAAAGAAAGAAAAAAAAAGAAGGGACGACCCCUGCCACGACAGAGUCGCGCCGUUAUCCGAUAUUUGUGACCGAAAAUGGAGGCAGGUAUCGUAUAAAAUGACAAUAAGGGCGUGCCAUUCCUGUACUAUCGUGCCGGACAUCAAUAACAUUCGUUACCCGCGUUACACCCUGUAUAUACGGGGAAUACGUAUAUACACAGGAUUACUAUAUUUCUCUCCUAUCUCCUGUCCCUCUUCGCUCCACGCAUCUCUCUCUCUCUCCGCUUCCCGCCACGGUUCGUUCAGUUUGUCGCCCGUAGAGGCGCGCAUCGACAACGACGCGUGUGGACCUCUAUACGGAUCGUGAGAUCGCGCUCCUCGUUUCGUGUGUGUGUGUGGUAAGCUCGAUGAGUGCACACACACACACACUUGGCUCGAUUUCCCGCGUGUGUGUGAGUGUUGUAUUUUUUUUUCUUUUUUUUUUUUUGCGUGGUCGUGCGGUACAACAGUCAGUGUAAAGAAUAGCCAGUCGGCCGGGAACGUAUACGGCCACUUUACGUAACUUAUGUCGCCUUUGUUAGAGGAUAUCUCGGUUGCGCAUCGUUCCUACGCUUCCGUUGUUCCGGGCUAGUAGACGUCGGCCUUGCCGUUGAUGCCCUUGCCAUUCACCUGCCUCCACUUGUCGC
This is a long non-coding RNA of Apis mellifera (honey bee), 2368 nucleotides long. RefSeq lists it as uncharacterized. NCBI's taxonomy places the organism in Eukaryota, Metazoa, Arthropoda, Insecta, Hymenoptera, Apidae. The record is from RefSeq and is a predicted model, not a curated record. The transcript has 4 exons.